Long non-coding RNA from Acanthochromis polyacanthus (spiny chromis), 492 nucleotides. RefSeq lists it as uncharacterized. The transcript has 4 exons. The record is from RefSeq and is a predicted model, not a curated record. NCBI's taxonomy places the organism in Eukaryota, Metazoa, Chordata, Actinopteri, Pomacentridae.
UAGGAUGAUUUACACAGGCCAUAUGCGGCUGUCUUGUGCGUCCUGACGCACCGAGCGGAUCACUCGUGUCUAGUUUCCCUCUUUGUCGGCAGGCAGCGCACACUCUCAUCAGGACCAUUCACACGUCCAGCGCUCAAACCACAACUUCAGAGAAUUGGCCACCGAUGAAGACAUCAUCCAUCAUCCCACUGACGCUCUGCCAGAACACUUGGAGAUAAAUAUGGAGGCUUUUCAAGUUGUACCUGUCUUUGAGAAACCACACAAUCAUAAACCCACAUAGAAGAAGCAGGAGAUGGUGGUGCAGAUUUAGAAGAGGAAGAGGAGCACAAAGAAGAGUAAGCGACGGUGGGGUCCAAGCCAAGGGAAAAGAGAUUACAUCACAAAAGCAAUGAUGGUGCAGCAAGAGCCAUGAAUACAUUACACCAUCAUAUAUACACAGAGCAUGGGCGGAAAGUGGCGGCAAAAUAAUAAAUCAUAAUGAAUAAUAUCAAA